RNAcentral lists this ribosomal RNA (467 nucleotides) under uncultured bacterium. RNAcentral's name for it is "partial 16S ribosomal RNA". It matches the Rfam family "Bacterial small subunit ribosomal RNA", at positions 28 to 507 of the family's 1533-position model. The record is from RNAcentral.
GACGAACGCUGGCGGCGUGCUUAACACAUGCAAGUCGAACGGAAAGGCCCCUUUUUGGGGGUACUCGCGUGGCGUACGGGUGAGUAACACGUGAGUAACCUCCCCUUGACUCUGGGAUAACUUCAGGAAACUCUGGCUCAUACCGCAGAGGAGCUCCUGCUGCAUGGGGGGGGUUGGACAGUUUCGGCGGUUGGGGAUGGACUCGCGGCUUAUCAGCUUGUUGGUGGGGUAGUGGCUUACCAAGGCUUUGACGGGUAGGCGGCCUGAGAGGGUGACCGGCCACAUUGGGACUGGGAUACGGGCCAGAACUCUACGGGGGGGAGGAGUGGGGGAUAAUGCAACAUGGGGGGAAGGCUGAUGGAGGAACGGCGUGGGCGGGGUGGAGGGCUUCCGGUUUUAAACCGCCUUCCCUCAGGGCGAAAGUGUGUGUGACGGUAGUGGGUAAAGAAGCACCGGCUAACUACGUG